Molecule: transfer RNA, 71 nt
Filed under: Marmota monax (woodchuck)
Lineage: Eukaryota; Metazoa; Chordata; Mammalia; Rodentia; Sciuridae
Description: tRNA.Ala
Source: RNAcentral
GGGGCUGGGGCUCAAUGGUACAGCGCUUGUCUUGCAUAUGUGAGGCACUGGGUUCAAUUCUCAGUGCCACA